Long non-coding RNA from Lepidothrix coronata (blue-crowned manakin), 299 nucleotides. RefSeq lists it as uncharacterized. The record is from RefSeq and is a predicted model, not a curated record. The transcript is spliced from 3 exons. NCBI's taxonomy places the organism in Eukaryota, Metazoa, Chordata, Aves, Passeriformes, Pipridae.
GCCUCACAUCCACUCUCACUGAACAGCGAGAGGGAAAACCAGCCCUGCUCUGCAGCCUGGCUGCAAAGAUCUAGAGCAGAGAGUGACCCACUGCAUGCUGACAGCUGAAAUUUAGCCUGGCAGACCUAGAAGUGACAAAAAACACCGGGAUGCUUCACUGUGGAGGCUUUUGAAUUAAUUGAACCCUGGGAUCAGAAGAACUGGGCAACAGAGUUGGAGGCAUUUCUAUAACAACCAAAGGAGACCAGUAGGAACACAACAGAUUUGCUGGGUCCAAGAGGGAGAGGCAGUAAUGGAAC